ACACUGAAGCAAGAAGUUCUAUUGCCUGGCAACAUGGCCUUGUGGGGAUCCGAUUUGGAUGGACAUGUCGUUGACACACUGUUCUGGGAGAAAGAUAGAUGGAUGGUAGUGUCCAGGCGUCGAGCCGAACACACCUGUCUGCCGUCUCUAAGGCUUUGUACCCUGUUACUUACCUCUUAAGAGGUUGAGCAGGUCUGUUGGUUCAUGGGAGGGUUACAGGAGGAUGUUCAAGUAGGUACUCCCUCCGUCCCAAAAUUCUUGUCUUAGAUUUGUCUAAAUACGGAUGUAUCAGUUGGAGGAGGUCUUAAGGCAACGUACAGGGUCUUUAAUCUGUGAUGUACCAGCGCCUCUCUCUCUCUGAGUUCUUCAAGUCUGGGCGCAUCUAUGGGCAUUCCUCUGCUAGCUUUGUUUCUUUGUCCCGGCAAUGGAGCCUGUGAGCUACGCUCGUCGCAUCACUUGGGAAGGCAUGGCCAGAUUGAGAAACACGUUGACAUUUUUACCGACCCCAAUAAGCAGCCAGAACAGUCAUCCCCAGUUGAGCAUAGAAAAGAAGAAUUGAACUUCCAGUCCAAGUGAAGCCAUGGCAUCAAAGCAACAAGUCUGCUGGUUGAAGGUCUCUGGAGGUUAGCCCUGCUGCAACCAAAGCCAUGAGUCAAGGCCAAGGGCAAACUAGCUAUGCUCCCAACUCCAGCAUUCAGGUAAACUAGCUAUGCUCCCAAGUCCGUUAUUCCGGAAUCUCCUGAAAUUUGGCUUCAGGGGACUGCCUUGUCAAGAAUUUGAUCGUAGU
Long non-coding RNA from Triticum dicoccoides, 787 nucleotides. RefSeq lists it as uncharacterized. The transcript has 3 exons. The record is from RefSeq and is a predicted model, not a curated record. Lineage: Eukaryota; Viridiplantae; Streptophyta; Magnoliopsida; Poales; Poaceae.